RNAcentral lists this transfer RNA (76 nucleotides) under Acidimicrobium sp. BACL17 MAG-120924-bin0. RNAcentral's name for it is "tRNA-Lys". It matches the Rfam family "tRNA". Rfam says of the family: Transfer RNA (tRNA) molecules are approximately 80 nucleotides in length. Their secondary structure includes four short double-helical elements and three loops (D, anti-codon, and T loops). Further hydrogen bonds mediate the characteristic L-shaped molecular structure. tRNAs have two regions of fundamental functional importance: the anti-codon, which is responsible for specific mRNA codon recognition, and the 3' end, to which the tRNAs corresponding amino acid is attached (by aminoacyl-tRNA synthetases). tRNAs cope with the degeneracy of the genetic code in two manners: having more than one tRNA (with a specific anti-codon) for a particular amino acid; and 'wobble' base-pairing, i.e. permitting non-standard base-pairing at the 3rd anti-codon position. Lineage: Bacteria; Bacillati; Actinomycetota; Acidimicrobiia; Acidimicrobiales; Acidimicrobiaceae. The record is from RNAcentral. RNAcentral also lists the same sequence under 1 other name.
GGGUCGCUAGCUCAGUUGGUAGAGCAACGGACUUUUAAUCCGCAGGUCCAGGGUUCGAGCCCCUGGCGACCCACAA